Molecule: ribosomal RNA, 252 nt
Filed under: uncultured bacterium
Lineage: Bacteria
Description: partial 16S ribosomal RNA
Rfam family: Bacterial small subunit ribosomal RNA
Source: RNAcentral
ACGGAGGGUCCGAGCGUUAUCCGGAAUCAUUGGGUUUAAAGGGUCCGUAGGCGGACGGCUAAGUCAGUGGUGAAAGUCUGCAGCUCAACUGUAGAAUUGCCAUUGAUACUGGUCGUCUUGAAUUAUUGUGAAGUGUCUAGAAUAAGUAGUGUAGCGGUGAAAUGCAUAGAUAUUACUUAGAAUACCAAUUGCGAAGGCAGGACACUAACAAUAUAUUGACGCUGAUGGACGAAAGCGUGGGGAGCGAACAGG